This 71-nucleotide transfer RNA is filed under the name bacterium. RNAcentral's name for it is "tRNA-Pro". It matches the Rfam family "tRNA". Rfam says of the family: Transfer RNA (tRNA) molecules are approximately 80 nucleotides in length. Their secondary structure includes four short double-helical elements and three loops (D, anti-codon, and T loops). The record is from RNAcentral.
CGGGGUGUAGUAUAAUGGUAAUACGCGAGCAUGGGGUGCUUGUGUCGGGAGUUCGAUUCUCCCCACCCCGA